AUAUUGUUUUAGCCAAUAAUGACGAAGACUCGGCCGGCCUUUUGUCGCACGUCAGAUGUUCCCAAGCCACAUCCACAAGCCCGAAAAGCAAACAGAAAAGAGAGACCUUCGUUACCCUGAAAGAAAAACGUAGUGGAUUCCCGAGGUCCGUGCGAAUUAGCGGACAGCUUCAGGUCGUGCGAGUCUCUGUCGGUGUUGUUGCGGCUCUCGUGCUGGUUGCUUGGGACCUUGAUUGGUUGUUCAAGUUCUGGUUGGUAACCAGGUGCUUCUCACAGAUCAUCAAACUUUGGAAAUUGCAUCCGGUUUCAGAACGAGAUGGGGACUGAAGGGCCAAAGCCCCUCACAAUAAAUGUAACUGGAUUCAAGAAAUUUCGAGGUGUGCUUGAAAAUCCCACGGAAGCUAUUGUUAAUAAUUUGAAAAGUUUUAUUGAGAAGAAAGGGCUACCACCUGGAGUGACUUCUUGGGACCUGCACCACACUAGAGACUGCAGGCGAUGGUGCAGUUCGCAAGCUUUUGGAAGUCAUGGAAUCUGGCACCUUGACUAAUGGUUCUACUUACAAUGAACAAGUUGUGUGGCUUCACUUAGGCGUAUAUCCUGGUGCUCCUAAGUUUGCCAUUGAGCAGCAGGCGGUUAACGAAGCCACCUUUGGUUGUCCAGACGAGAUGGGAUGGCAACCUCAGGUUGAGAUGUCUCUGUUUGCUAUUUAUUACCAAUUCGUUCUGAUGCUGUUCUUUGUCCUUGAGUUGGUGCCCUUACAAAUUCGCUUUUGCUUCUUUCAGCAACUUUCAAUAGUUCCUGAAGAUGGCCAAACUUCUCGUACAAGACAGGUUUGCGAUUACCCCUCUGACAUUGUCUUCAUGGCAUUCUUGAAGACUUCCUUCUCCACGGAAGCAAUCCUUGAGUUCUUGAUGAAGAAGGGCUACGACGUGACCCUAUCGGACGAUGCUGGCCGUUUCGUCUGCAAUUAUGUCUACUAUCACUCUCUUCGGCUUGCAGAACAGAGGGGUGGCAGAUCUCUCUUUGCGCACGUUCCUUCCUUCUCGAGAAUCGAUGAGGAGACUCAGAUGAAUUUCGUAGCCUCCCUAUUGGAAGCUAUUGCAUCGUCGUAUUGACUUCCAGAUCAUGAGGUUUGGCUGUUCGAAUGUCUUUGCUGCUUCUUGUUAUUUGCAAAGGAAUCCGCGUUGCUGUACUCUACCGGUGCAAAAGACUUUUUAUAACUUCUGAUCAUGAUCUCUUUCAACUGUAUCAUUUAAAUAAUACAUGUUGAACUAGACGAAGCCAAGCUGAUAUAAAUGAUAGGCGAAGGAAAAAUCGCCCAUUCAUUCAGGA
Molecule: RNA transcript, 1331 nt
Organism: Eucalyptus grandis
Lineage: Eukaryota; Viridiplantae; Streptophyta; Magnoliopsida; Myrtales; Myrtaceae
Exons: 4
Source: RefSeq, a predicted model, not a curated record